ACUAGUAAUCGCAGAUCAGAAUGCUGCGGUGAAUGCGUUCCCGGGUCUUGUACACACCGCCCGUCACACCACGGAAGUUGGGGGCGCCCGAAGCCACUUAGCUAACCCAUUUGGGAAGCGAGUGUCGAAGGUGAAAUCAAUAACUGGGGUGAAGUCGUAACAAGGUAUC
Molecule: ribosomal RNA, 169 nt
Filed under: uncultured bacterium
Lineage: Bacteria
Description: partial 16S ribosomal RNA
Rfam family: Bacterial small subunit ribosomal RNA
Source: RNAcentral